UACGUAGGGUGCAAGCGUUGCCCGGAUUUAUUGGGCGUAAAGGGCGCGUAGGCGGUCGUGACAAGUCACUUGUGAAAUCUCCGGGCUUAACUCGGAACGGUCAAGUGAUACUGUCGGACUAGAGUACAGAAGGGGCAACUGGAAUUCUCGGUGUAGCGGUGAAAUGCGUAGAUAUCGAGAGGAACACCUGCGGCGAAGGCGGGUUGCUGGGCUGAUACUGACGCUGAGGCGCGAAAGCCAGGGGAGCGAACGGG
Molecule: ribosomal RNA, 254 nt
Filed under: uncultured bacterium
Lineage: Bacteria
Description: partial 16S ribosomal RNA
Rfam family: Bacterial small subunit ribosomal RNA
Source: RNAcentral